GAUCUGUAUUCAUUAGGGAGAAAUAGGAUUGGCCAGAGGCAAAUGAUACAACAGGAUAAAUAAAUGUGCUCAGAAAUGUACGACGUUGUGCGCAAUAAGGAACGUGUCACCAUAGAAAUAGAAUCUACAUUAGAAUUCCGUGCUCGUCACAAUGUCCAAUUAACAUACAUUUGAAUUCCUAAUUCUAUGUGUAUUACUCAGAGGUGAAGUUAUUCACAAUCACAACCAACCUACAGAAUAUCAAUAGCAAACGCGAAUUCUUCAUUCAAGUCAAUCAAAAAUCGUAUAUGUUUUCCUGUUCUCAGUAAGAAAAUGCUCAAGAGGCAAUUCCGUACACUGAAAGCCCAGGGAAGACUCCCGCUAGACCUCCCUCUGAGACCAAUGAAGGCCUGGCUCCUGGCAGGGAAAAGAGUCUUCUUGGAGCGUGAGACAGAGACAUGGAAGAGAUGGAGGAAAGUCUGUGUAGCUGAAUUGACUUGGGAUGCAAAGAGGGGCCUGGAAUUACAGGAGACAGAGAGAGUUCUCCUGGUCAGUUGCCAGAGAGUUCAGGAUGAAUUAAGGAUGUCUGAUUUCACCGUGGACACGGCGCCCAACGAAGCCAUCCAGCUUCUGAAAGAGGAGUGUUGGAAGUUGAACUUCUUGCACCUAAAGGAUGAGACAUGCCAGGCCACUGAGCUCCCUGAGCUGUAUGGGCAUUCUGAGACCUCUUCAAAGGAAACUCUAAUUGAAGAGAAAAGUCCAAAGACCAAGUGCCCGUCCAGCGUCGCUGGGGCUGCUGACAUUGACAACACCAAUGAGGAGGAUUCAGAGGAGUCUCCGGAUAACAAUGUGGUGGACUUUCAGGAUGAGCCGCUGGCCCUGGUCAGUGUGGAGAAAGACGCUGCUGGAGAUGGAAAGGUCCUCAGCAAGGUGGUGAAGCCCAAAGGAUGUCUGAAGGAGAGCUGCAAAGAUCAGCUAACCCCAACAAUCUAUGAUAUGAUUACGGAACUACCAAAGUCCUAUUUCGGAUCCACUGAGAGCCUUCCUGAGAUGUGUAGCAGAGGUCCUGAGGUGUGCAGUGGAGUGCCUGGGGUGAGUAACAGAGGUCCAAAGGUGUGCAGUGGAGCGCCUGAGGUGCCAAAUGCAGUGGGAGAGGUGUCAAGUGACACAAAGAAGACAGAGGCAACUGGAGACCUUCUGAACACUGGAAACGGCCUGAGAAAGGUGGUGCAGCUAUCCACCGAGAGCCAUGCUGAGGUGUGCAAUGGAGAGGCUGAGCUGUGCAGUGGUCCUGAGGUGUGCAGCAGAGGUCCUGAGGUGUGCAGCGGAGGUCCUGAGGUGUGCAGCGGAGGUCCUGAGGUGUGCAGCGGAGGUCCUGAGGUGUCAAACGCAGUGGAAGAGGUGUCCAGUGACACAAAGACUACAGAGGCUGCUGAAGACCUUCUGGACACUGGAAAUGUCCUCAGCAAGGUGGUGAACCCCAAAGGGUGGCUGAAGCAGGACUGGGAUGAUCAGCUGAACAGAGACGUCAAUGAUAUGAUUGCAAAUCUCCCAAAGCCCUAUUUCGGAUCCAUCGAGAGCCUUCCUGAGGUGUGCAGCAGAGGUCCUGAGGUGUCAAACGAAGUGGAAGAGGUGUGCAGUGACACAAUGAAGAUAGAGGCUACAGGAAAUCUUCUGAAAACUGGAAAUGGCCUAAGCAAGGUGGUGCUCCUAUCCACUGAGAGCCGUCCUGAUGUGUGCAUUAGAGUGCCUGAGGUGUUCAGUGGAGGCCCAGAGGUAUGCAGUGAAAUGCCUGAAGUGUACAGUGGAUGUCCUGAGGUGUUCAUUGGAGUCCCUGAGGUGUCAAACCCAGUGGAAGAGGUGUCCAGUGAUACAAAGACAGAGGCUGCUGAAGAACUUCGGGACACUGAAAAUGACCUCAGCAAGGUGGUGAAAUCCAAAGGGUGGCUGAAGGAGGGCUGGGAAGAUCAGCUGACCAAAGACUUCAAUGAUAUGAUUGCAAGACUCCCAAAGUCCUAUUUUGGAUCCAACGAGAGCCUUCCUGAGGUGUGCAGCGGAGUGCCCGAGGUGUCGAACGCAGUGGAAGUGGUGCGCAGUGACACAAAGAAGCAGAAGAAAAAUGGUGUUCUACGAUGUUUCCGACGUGUGUGGAAGUUCUUCACAUGCACCAGCAGCCUCCCCAAAGAGGAGUGACUCAAGCACACACAACUCUGGGCAACACUUUCUCC
Oncorhynchus tshawytscha (Chinook salmon) is the source of this 2207-nucleotide long non-coding RNA. The record is from Ensembl. NCBI's taxonomy places the organism in Eukaryota, Metazoa, Chordata, Actinopteri, Salmoniformes, Salmonidae.